CCUGAUCCCAAUGUUGUUGUCCUUGUCUCGUUUGAAACUUAGGCUUCUGACUCUAUCCUUGGAAAGUUAUUUUCUUAUCAUUUCUAGGCCAAUGCUGUCCUUGACCUUGCCUAAACUAUAGUCGAGCAUCUUGAGCAUGACUAAUUCUUUGUUUGGCUUGUUUUGCAACUAAUGCCCUCUCUGUAAUUUGAGAAUAUGACACAUCUUAGAUUCCAGUCAUGCUUACGUCUCUAUAUAGUUCUGGUCUUA
Molecule: long non-coding RNA, 249 nt
Filed under: Olea europaea (common olive)
Lineage: Eukaryota; Viridiplantae; Streptophyta; Magnoliopsida; Lamiales; Oleaceae
Description: long non-coding RNA (OEUR_LNC006142)
Source: RNAcentral